AACGAACGCUGGCGGCAUGCCUAAUACAUGCAAGUCGAACGAGAUCUUCGGAUCUAGUGGCGCACGGGUGCGUAACGCGUGGGAAUCUGCCCUUGUGUUCGGAAUAACUUCUGGAAACGGAAGCUAAUACCGGAUGAUGACGUAAGUCCAAAGAUUUAUCGCCCAAGGAUGAGCCCGCGUAGGAUUAGGUAGUUGGUGAGGUAAAGGCUCACCAAGCCGACGAUCCUUAGCUGGUCUGAGAGGAUGAUCAGCCACACUGGGACUGGGACACGGCCCAGACUACUGCGGGAGGGAGCAGUAGGGAAUAUUGGAAAAUGGGGGAAAGCAUGAUCCAGCAAUGCCGCGUGAGUGAUGAAGGCCUUAAGGUUGUAAAGCUCUUUUACCCGGGAUGAUAAUGACAGUACCGAGAGAAUAAGCUCCGGCUAACUCCGUG
This 433-nucleotide ribosomal RNA is filed under the name uncultured bacterium. RNAcentral describes it as "partial 16S ribosomal RNA". It matches the Rfam family "Bacterial small subunit ribosomal RNA", at positions 29 to 507 of the family's 1533-position model. The record is from RNAcentral.